AGAACGAACGCUGGCGGCAUGCCUAAUACAUGCAAGUCGAACGAACUCUUCGGACGUUAGUGGCGCACGGGUGCGUAACGCGUGGGAAUCUGCCCCUUGGUUCGGAAUAACAGUUGGAAACGACUGCUAAUACCGGAUGAUGACGAAAGUCCAAAGAUUUAUCGCCAAGGGAUGAGCCCGCGUAGGAUUAGCUAGUUGGUGAGGUAAAGGCUCACCAAGGCAACGAUCCUUAGCUGGUCUGGAGAGGAUGACACGCCACACUACGGGACUGAGACACCGGCCCACGAACUCCCGUACGGGA
RNAcentral lists this ribosomal RNA (301 nucleotides) under uncultured soil bacterium. RNAcentral describes it as "bacterial SSU rRNA". It matches the Rfam family "Bacterial small subunit ribosomal RNA", at positions 26 to 346 of the family's 1533-position model. The record is from RNAcentral.